UACGAGGGGGGCGAGCGUUGUCGGAAUUAUUGGGCGUAAAGGGUGCGUAGGCGGUUCCGCAAGUCCUGUGUGAAAUCUUCGGGCUCAACUCGAAGUCUGCACGGGAAACUGCGGGGCUUGAGUGUGGGAGAGGUGAGUGGAAUUCCCGGUGCAGCGGUGAAAUGCGUAGAUAUCGGGAGGAACACCUGUGGCGAAAGCGGCUCACUGGACCAUAACUGACGCUGAUGCACGAAAGCUGGGGGAGCAAACAGG
This 252-nucleotide ribosomal RNA is filed under the name uncultured bacterium. RNAcentral's name for it is "partial 16S ribosomal RNA". It matches the Rfam family "Bacterial small subunit ribosomal RNA", at positions 524 to 776 of the family's 1533-position model. The record is from RNAcentral.